RNAcentral lists this small RNA (77 nucleotides) under Xanthomonas campestris pv. passiflorae. RNAcentral's name for it is "sX9 sRNA". It matches the Rfam family "Xanthomonas sRNA sX9". The record is from RNAcentral. Lineage: Bacteria; Pseudomonadati; Pseudomonadota; Gammaproteobacteria; Lysobacterales; Lysobacteraceae.
AUGUGGCACUCGUCCACUGCGGUUUUGAGCGCGCUGUCCGCGCCCACCUGACGAUUGCUCGCCACGUGGUGUAAGCC